This 245-nucleotide small RNA is filed under the name Pongo abelii (Sumatran orangutan). RNAcentral describes it as "processed transcript". Lineage: Eukaryota; Metazoa; Chordata; Mammalia; Primates; Hominidae. The record is from RNAcentral.
AUGAAGCACUACGAGGUGGAGAUUCUGGAUGCAAAGACAAGGGAGAAGCUGUGUUUCUUGGACAAGAGCUGACGUCCCUGCGCCUGUGCUUCCCCCAGGUGGAGCCCCACGCCACCAUUGCGGAGAUCAAGAACCUCUUCACCAAGACCCAUCCACAGUGGUACCCCGCCCGCCAGUCCCUCCGCCUGGACCCCAAAGCUGCCCGUGGGCACCACGGCCACACUCUACUUCCGGGACCUGGGGGC